RNAcentral lists this small RNA (26 nucleotides) under Bombyx mori (domestic silkworm). Its description in RNAcentral is "ovarian small RNA-25653". Lineage: Eukaryota; Metazoa; Arthropoda; Insecta; Lepidoptera; Bombycidae. The record is from RNAcentral.
UCAGCAAUCAGCAUCGAGCCGCAGCC